RNAcentral lists this transfer RNA (64 nucleotides) under Pelecinus polyturator. RNAcentral's name for it is "tRNA-Ala". The record is from RNAcentral. Lineage: Eukaryota; Metazoa; Arthropoda; Insecta; Hymenoptera; Pelecinidae.
UGGAUAAUAGUUAAUUCUAUAACUCUUACUUUGCAAGUAAAAAUAAUUUUUUAAAUUUAUCUAA